GCAGCACUGAAUAGACCUUUUCCAUCAUAAACAAUCACUCUGUCGUUGUUGUCAAUACCAAAAGCAGAAACAGCAGCAGCAAAAGCUUCUUCUGAAGGCAACAUGUGAGGCAAAUUAGAUGUUCGGUCUGAUAUUCCAUCAAUGUCAAAGAAUAAGGCACCAGGAAUGUGAGCUGCCUGAUACUCUUGAAGUGGGUUUCUUUGCUCAAACGGCAUAUACCAGGAAGCAUCCAAGACCUUAACGUCAGCCUGUCCAAG
RNAcentral lists this unclassified non-coding RNA (257 nucleotides) under Hevea brasiliensis (rubber tree). Lineage: Eukaryota; Viridiplantae; Streptophyta; Magnoliopsida; Malpighiales; Euphorbiaceae. The record is from RNAcentral.